This is a long non-coding RNA of Empidonax traillii (willow flycatcher), 495 nucleotides long. RefSeq lists it as uncharacterized. The record is from RefSeq and is a predicted model, not a curated record. The transcript has 3 exons. NCBI's taxonomy places the organism in Eukaryota, Metazoa, Chordata, Aves, Passeriformes, Tyrannidae.
CUCCACUGUUGGGCAGCAGGAGUGUGUGUUAGAGGUGUUCAGUCUGCAGAACGAGCAAGGGAGGGUGAGGGCAGCGUCCCCUCAGCUGUCUGAGGCUCAGGCUGAUGUUAAUCAUUGUGAACUUCCUAAGCUUUACUGGAAUACGAUGAGUGGAAAACUACUAUACGAGGCGAUGCUCACGAUCCUGUUUCCUUGUGCUCGUGGCAGAGUUGGUUUCACAACAGGAGUCACGCAAGGCUGAGGAUGUGGGCAGAGGGGAAUAUUUCCUUCUUGCGCAGUUGUGCUUGACCAAGUUGGAACUAACCAAGUGCAAGUGAGUGUGACUGAUGGCCAGGCAUUUGGAUUUAUGUGUAUGGAGGCAUGCCCAGACACUCAACCAGCCUUUGUGCCAUGUCAUGGAGCUUAUGCAGAGCCUUUAGUCUGAGCUGGAAAGUGCAUGCUCUGAGCAGCUUCUGCAAGGAGUGCAGAGUAUCGGCUGCUUCAGAAGGGUGGGCA